RNAcentral lists this ribosomal RNA (253 nucleotides) under uncultured bacterium. Its description in RNAcentral is "partial 16S ribosomal RNA". It matches the Rfam family "Bacterial small subunit ribosomal RNA", at positions 524 to 776 of the family's 1533-position model. The record is from RNAcentral.
UACAGAGGGGGCAAGCGUUGUUCGGAAUUAUUGGGCGUACAGGGCGCGUAGGCGGCCUGUUAAGUCGACCGUGAAAUCCCCGGGCUCAACCCGGGAACUGCGUCCGAUACUGGCAGGCUUGAAUCCGGGAGAGGGAUGCGGAAUUCCAGGUGUAGCGGUGAAAUGCGUAGAUAUCUGGAGGAACACCGGUGGCGAAGGCGGCAUCCUGGACCGGCAUUGACGCUGAGGCGCGAAAGCCAGGGGAGCAAACGGG